This 663-nucleotide ribosomal RNA is filed under the name uncultured bacterium. RNAcentral describes it as "bacterial SSU rRNA". It matches the Rfam family "Bacterial small subunit ribosomal RNA", at positions 159 to 809 of the family's 1533-position model. The record is from RNAcentral.
GAUGCUAAUACCGGAUAACAACACUAGACGCAUGUCUAGAGUUUGAAAGAUGGUUCUGCUAUCACUCUUGGAUGGACCUGCGGUGCAUUAGCUAGUUGGUAAGGUAACGGCUUACCAAGGCAAUGAUGCAUAGCCGAGUUGAGAGACUGAUCGGCCACAUUGGGACUGAGACACGGCCCAAACUCCUACGGGAGGCAGCAGUAGGGAAUCCUCCACAAUGGACGAAAGUCUGAUGGAGCAACGCCGCGUGAGUGAAGAAGGGUUUCGGCUCGUAAAGCUCUGUUGGUAGUGAAGAAAGAUAGAGGUAGUAACUGGCCUUUAUUUGACGGUAAUUACUUAGAAAGUCACGGCUAACUACGUGCCAGCAGCCGCGGUGAUACGUAGGUGGCAAGCGUUGUCCGGAUUUAUUGGGCGUAAAGCGAGUGCAGGCGGUUCAAUAAGUCUGAUGUGAAAGCCUUCGGCUCAACCGGAGAAUUGCAUCAGAAACUGUUGAACUUGAGUGCAGAAGAGGAGAGUGGAACUCCAUGUGUAGCGGUGGAAUGCGUAGAUAUAUGGAAGAACACCAGUGGCGAAGGCGGCUCUCUGGUCUGCAACUGACGCUGAGGCUCGAAAGCAUGGGUAGCGAACAGGAUUAGAUACCCUGGUAGUCCAUGCCGUAAACGA